UGGUGGAGUGAUUUGUCUGGUUAAUUCCGUUAACGAACGAGACCUCGACCUACUAAAUAGUUGACCAAACUCUUCGGGGUUGGGAUUGACUUCUUAGAGGGACUUUUGGUGAGUAGCCAAAGGAAGUUCGAGGCAAUAACA
Molecule: ribosomal RNA, 141 nt
Filed under: uncultured eukaryote
Lineage: Eukaryota
Description: partial 18S ribosomal RNA
Rfam family: Eukaryotic small subunit ribosomal RNA
Source: RNAcentral